Molecule: ribosomal RNA, 253 nt
Filed under: uncultured bacterium
Lineage: Bacteria
Description: partial 16S ribosomal RNA
Rfam family: Bacterial small subunit ribosomal RNA
Source: RNAcentral
UACGGAGGGUGCAAGCGUUAUCCGGAUUCACUGGGUUUAAAGGGUGCGUAGGCGGGCAGGUAAGUCAGUGGUGAAAUCUCCGAGCUUAACUCGGAAACUGCCGUUGAUACUAUUUGUCUUGAAUAUUGUGGAGGUAAGCGGAAUAUGUCAUGUAGCGGUGAAAUGCUUAGAUAUGGCAUAGAACACCAAUUGCGAAGGCAGCUUACUACACAACGAUUGACGCUGAGGCACGAAAGCGUGGGGAUCAAACAGG